Molecule: ribosomal RNA, 301 nt
Filed under: uncultured bacterium
Lineage: Bacteria
Description: partial 16S ribosomal RNA
Rfam family: Bacterial small subunit ribosomal RNA
Source: RNAcentral
CAGUAGCCGCGGGAAUACAGAGGGUGCAAGCGUUAAUCGGAAUUACUGGGCGUAAAGCGCGCGUAGGUGGUUCGCCAAGUUGGAUGUGAAAUCCCCGGGCUCAACCUGGGAACUGCAUCCAAAACUGGCGAGCUAGAGUAUGGUAGAGGGUGGUGGAAUUUCCUGUGUAGCGGUGAAAUGCGUAGAUAUGGGAAGGAACAUCAGUGGCGAAGGCGACCACCUGGACCAUUACUGACGCUGAGGUGCGAAAGCGUGGGGAGCAAACAGGAUUAGAUACCCCUGUAGUCCCUGUCUCUUAUAU